RNAcentral lists this ribosomal RNA (274 nucleotides) under uncultured bacterium KC228. RNAcentral's name for it is "partial 16S rRNA". It matches the Rfam family "Bacterial small subunit ribosomal RNA", at positions 228 to 494 of the family's 1533-position model. The record is from RNAcentral. Lineage: Bacteria; Pseudomonadati; Pseudomonadota; Gammaproteobacteria.
AGCCUAGGUCGGAUUAGCUAGUUGGUGAGGUAAUGGCUCACCAAGGCGACGAUCCGUAACUGGUCUGAGAGGAUGAUCAGUCACACUGGAACUGAGACACGGUCCAGACUUCUACGGGAGGCAGCAGUGGGGAAUAUUGGACAAUGGGCGAAAGCCUGAUCCAGCCAUGCCGCGUGUGUGAAGAAGGUCUUCGGAUUGUAAAGCACUUUAAGUUGGGAGGAAGGGCAGUAAAUUAAUACUUUGCUGUUUUGACGUUACCGACAGAAUAAGCACC